This 540-nucleotide ribosomal RNA is filed under the name uncultured bacterium. RNAcentral's name for it is "partial 16S ribosomal RNA". It matches the Rfam family "Bacterial small subunit ribosomal RNA", at positions 357 to 892 of the family's 1533-position model. The record is from RNAcentral.
UGGGAAUUUGGACAAUGGGCGAAGCCUGAUCCAGCAAUGCCGCGUGUGUGAAGAAGGCCUUCGGGUUGUAAAGCACUUUUGUCCGGAAAGAAAUCCUUGGCUCUAAUACAGUCGGGGGAUGACGGUACCGGAAGAAUAAGCACCAGCUAACUACGUGCCAGCAGCCGCGGUAAUACGUAGGGUGCAAGCGUUAAUCGGAAUUACUGGGCGUAAAGCGUGCGCAGGCGGUUUGCUAAGACCGAUGUGAAAUCCCCGGCUCAACCUGGGAACUGCAUUGGUGACUGGCAGGCUAGAGUAUGGCAGAGGGGGGUAGAAUUCCACGUGUAGCAGUGAAAUGCGUAGAGAUGUGGAGGAAUACCGAUGGCGAAGGCAGCCCCCUGGGCCAAUACUGACGCUCAUGCACGAAAGCGUGGGGAGCAAACAGGAUUAGAUACCCUGGUAGUCCACGCCCUAAACGAUGUCAACUAGUUGUUGGGGAUUCAUUUCCUUAGUAACGUAGCUAACGCGUGAAGUUGACCGCCUGGGGAGUACGGUCGCAAG